GACGAACGCUGGCGGCGUGCUUAACACAUGCAAGUCGAACGGAGUUGCUCCUUCGGGAGUAACUUAGUGGCGAACGGGUGAGUAACGCGUGAGAAACCUGCCUUUCAGUGGGGGACAACAGUUGGAAACGACUGCUAAUACCGCAUAAUGUUAUUUGGGGGCAUCCCCGAAUAACCAAAGAUUUAUUGCUGAAAGAUGGUCUCGCGUCUGAUUAGCUAGUUGGUGAGGUAACGGCCCACCAAGGCAACGAUCAGUAGCCGGUCUGAGAGGAUGAACGGCCACAUUGGGACUGAGAUACGGCCCACGACUCCUACGGGAGGCAGCAGUGGGGAAUAUUGGGCAAUGGGGGGAAACCCUAGACCCAGCAACGCCGCGUGAAGGAAGAAGGC
RNAcentral lists this ribosomal RNA (389 nucleotides) under uncultured bacterium. RNAcentral describes it as "bacterial SSU rRNA". It matches the Rfam family "Bacterial small subunit ribosomal RNA", at positions 28 to 415 of the family's 1533-position model. The record is from RNAcentral.